CUUACAUGUUACACCCAGGCGGGAGGAAGCUCACAGCCUUCGGUUGCCCCAAGUAAACCAUAUCAUUCUCACAAGAGAUGGCGAGCCUCUUGUAGAGCUGGGGACUUGGGCCAGACAUCUCUCGGUCCAGCUCUUCCCCUACCAGAACUGAAAACAUCCAUGGAAGAAGAUUUUAAUGUUACAGUUUAUUGCUGGGGAUAUAAUCAAUCAAUAAAAGAGAAGCCAUUCAAUACCUUGUAAGUCAAUUCAUUUCCAUGCUUA
RNAcentral lists this long non-coding RNA (261 nucleotides) under Lepisosteus oculatus (spotted gar). Its description in RNAcentral is "lncRNA (ENSLOCG00000022243.1)". The record is from RNAcentral. Lineage: Eukaryota; Metazoa; Chordata; Actinopteri; Semionotiformes; Lepisosteidae.